RNAcentral lists this ribosomal RNA (172 nucleotides) under uncultured bacterium. Its description in RNAcentral is "partial 16S ribosomal RNA". It matches the Rfam family "Bacterial small subunit ribosomal RNA", at positions 338 to 524 of the family's 1533-position model. The record is from RNAcentral.
CCUACGGGAGGCAGCAGUGGGGAAUAUUGCACAAUGGGCGAAAGCCUGAUGCAGCGACCCGCGUUGAACGAAGAAGUAUUUCGGUAUGUAAAGUUUCUAUCAGCAGGGGAAGAAAAACGACGGUACCUGACUAAGAAGCUCCGGCUAAAUACGUGCCAGCAGCCGCGGUAAU